GUUUAGAUAGCUUAAGUUUAAAGUUUAACAUUGAAAAUGUUACUAUGAUUUUAUAUCUCUAUACA
This 65-nucleotide transfer RNA is filed under the name Limois sp. WW-2021a. RNAcentral's name for it is "tRNA-Phe". It matches the Rfam family "tRNA". From Rfam's summary of the family: Transfer RNA (tRNA) molecules are approximately 80 nucleotides in length. Their secondary structure includes four short double-helical elements and three loops (D, anti-codon, and T loops). Further hydrogen bonds mediate the characteristic L-shaped molecular structure. tRNAs have two regions of fundamental functional importance: the anti-codon, which is responsible for specific mRNA codon recognition, and the 3' end, to which the tRNAs corresponding amino acid is attached (by aminoacyl-tRNA synthetases). tRNAs cope with the degeneracy of the genetic code in two manners: having more than one tRNA (with a specific anti-codon) for a particular amino acid; and 'wobble' base-pairing, i.e. permitting non-standard base-pairing at the 3rd anti-codon position. Lineage: Eukaryota; Metazoa; Arthropoda; Insecta; Hemiptera; Fulgoridae. The record is from RNAcentral.